Molecule: small RNA, 770 nt
Filed under: Pongo abelii (Sumatran orangutan)
Lineage: Eukaryota; Metazoa; Chordata; Mammalia; Primates; Hominidae
Description: retained intron
Source: RNAcentral
GGCCCCCUGCGCUCCCGAGCCGUGGCCUGCGGGCGAAGAGCCAGUGCGCUGCGACGCGUGCCCCGAGGGCGCGGCCCUGCCCGCCGCGCUGUCCUGCCUCUCCUGCCUCGCCUCCUUUUGCCCCGCGCACCUGGGCCCGCACGAGCGCAGCCCCGCGCUCCGCGGACACCGUCUGGUGCCGCCGCUGCGCCGGCUAGAGGAGAGCCUGUGCCCACGCCACCUGCGGCCGCUCGAGCGCUACUGCCGCGCGGAGCGCGUGUGUCUGUGCGAGGCCUGCGCCGCCCAGGAGCACCGCGGCCACGAGCUGGUGCCGCUGGAGCAGGAGCGCGCGCUUCAGGAGGCUGAGCAGCCCAAAGUCCUGAGCGCCGUGGAGGACCGCAUGGACGAGCUGGGUGCUGGCAUUGCACAGUCCAGGCGCACAGUGGCCCUCAUCAAGGUCAAACAUCCCUCCCCAGCCUCCAUCCCUGUCCUCCCCUGCAGCGGGCAUACUCCUGGCAGAGUAUGCUUUCAGCAUGGAACAAUCCACUCCAAACCAUGCCCAUACCCACUGAGCACAAGUGUCCCCUGACCUCGCCCAGAUCCAGGACAGGCUCAGGCUGGCCCCUCUGUCCUCUCAAGAGGGCCGGUGGGAAGCCAGGAUCAGGGAAGGAGGGGGCACAGUCCGGGACGGUUCUUUGCCCUCAUUGCCCCCUCUACUGUCGUCCUGUGCAGAGUGCAGCCGUGGCGGAGCGGGAGAGGGUGAGCCGGCUGUUUGCAGAGGCUGCGGCCGC